AGGAAGAAGAACGAGUCCAUGAAGAAGACAAACGGACGUAGUUGAACGGAUCCUCACAAACUCGACGUUACCGGAACCAACCCGAAGAAGCAAUCACCGGAAAAGAAGCACACAACAUAGUAAACAACCAACACAUCAACAUGGCAUGAUGCACAAUCAAGUAUGAUGCAUGUCCGGUUUAAAGAGGCAUGGCAUGGCAAAAUGCACAAACAAUCCUACAAAUUAAGUGGAGCUCAAUAUGCAACGAGUUGCAUAUUGACGAAACACCACAUGACUUAUUUAGUUCGAUCUCGUUUAUGUACCCAACAAUAUUAAAUGUUGAUUAACAUGGCAAGAGGUGAACCACAACAAAACUACCUAUCUAGGCAAGUUUAAAUGAGGCCGGAAGCAACGAACAACAAUUCUGGAAAAUCCUCAUAUGCAUAAUUUAAGGUUUGGUACUGUUCUUCCCUAAACAUAAUUUUAGAGUUGUUUAACAUGUAAAGUAAGGUCACCAUGAUAAACUAGGCAAAAUUCUACCCCAUUUACAUAUAAAGAUUAUUUAAAUCGGAGCUACGGUUAUUUAGUUAUGAAUUAAAUCAUAUUAGCAUGGCAUAGGAGCAAAUUAAUGCAAACAACAUUUUAAACAUUUUAAACAUGGAUGAAAGUUGGAUAUUAUUAAUCUACACAAAAUUCUAAGCAAGUUUCAUAUAUAAAUCAUUUUAAUCCGAUGCACGGUUGUGAAGUUAUUAUAUGCAUGAAAAAUAGGGACUAUACUGCAAAACUGGCUGUCUCAGGAUAAUUGGAAAAAAAACGCAGGCGCUGAAAAAAAUACAUCACGGGCCGAAUCUGAGGCAAGCCCACAGCAGGAAGGAAAAAAACAAUAGAGGCGGCGCUGGUGGUUGCUCACCCAUGGGCCUGGCCCAGUCGGAGGGGAAGAGGCAGGCCGGAAGGGCGGCUGGGGAUGGGCCUGGCGCUGCGGAUCUGGCCCGGCUGGAGUUGGCCUGGAAGACCAAGGCGGCGCUGGGCCUUGGCGCAUCGGCCCAUGCGGGGAUGAGGCAGAAGCAGGCCGAGGCGGGGCGCGGAUCUGGAGCUGGGCUGGACUCGGGGCCCGCGAAGAAGUCAACGGAGGCGCUCGGCUCCUCCCGAUCGGAUCGGGGAAGGCAGGGCGAGGCGUAGAACCAUGGCGACGGCGGCGGGCCCCCGGCAAGGGUCGACGGCGGCGACAGCGCCGGAGAGCGAGGUCCGGUGAGGCGGCAGGAAACGGGCGGAUCCGGCGGGGCUCGGCUCCCCGGGGCCGGAUCAGGCACAACGGAGGCGCUGGGAGUAGCGGCUCCUGCCUGGACGAGGCUUGGCGAGCUCCGGCGAAGUCCGGGUGGCCGGUGAAGAAUAGGCGGCGGGCGGCGGACGGCGUCGGGGAGGACGAAGGCGGCUCCUCCCGGGCGGCGGCACGAGGAGCUGGACCCGCGCGGGCCGGUUGCGGGCUCUCUAGGCCCGGCGGCGAAGUGGGGAGGCUGGGCGCUGACAUGGCGCGCGGUGAGUGGAGGGAAGCGGCGGCGGGGCGACGUGUCACGCUCUCAUUGGGCGGAGUGAGGUGGCGCGCGGGGCGGACAUGUCCGGUGCAGCGCGGACGCGUCCGGAUGCGCGGUGGAGGAAGAAGACUAGGGUUUCAUCCGAAAUUUCGGGGAGGGGUGCUCUUUUAUAGGUAGAGGGAGCUAGGAGAGUCCAAAUGAGGUGCGGUCUGCGGCCAUGCGAUCGUGAUCGAACGACCGAGAUGAUGGAGCAGAGUUAGGUGGGUUUUGGACCAAAAAGGAAGGGUGUUGGGCUGCAACACACACGAGGCCUUCUUGGUCCCUCGGUUAACCGUUGGAGUAUCAAACGAAGUCCAAAUGGUACGAAACUUGACAGGCGGUCUACCGGUAGUAAACCAAGGCCGCUUGGCAAGUCUCGGUCCAAUCCGGAAAUGUUUAAUCCCCACACAAGAAAGAAAGAUAGAAAUGACCACCGGAGGAGAACGGAACGCCGGAAUGCAAAACGGACAACGGGGAAAAUGCUCGAAUGCAUGAGAUGAACACGUAUGCAAAUGAAAUGCGCAUGAUGACAUGAUAUGCAAUGCAUGACACGCAAGCAAAGACAAGGCAACAACAGCGAAUAACUGAAUGACAGCUGGCACAUCGGUCUCGGAGCGUUACAACACUCCACCACUACGAGAGGAUCUCGUCCCGAGAUCUAGAAUGGCACCGGAGGGAAAAACGGAAGAGAAAGAGAAGAGGUAAAACAAAUUGCUUCUUUGACAAACGAGUGAAACCACGAACCUUGAGAGGUUGAACAAAUUGAAAGAAAGAAUACAACGAAGAUGAACAAAAUUGAAAACACCCCGUUAGAAACGAGGGACAAAGAGCAUUGCGAAACCUUGAGGUUGAAGGGAAGAUAUAUAUAGAAAAACACUCCGGUUAAGGAAGGGGGUCAAGGGAAACCCAAAAUUCGGGCAGCACUCCAGUUGAAAAGAAAAGGAAUUGAAUAAGGUCUUGAUAAGAUGAGAAGAUACUUGAUGAAAUCACAACACACUGCCACCGGAACUAUUGAAUGAAUGGAACAAGGGGUAAGAAAGAUCUCAGAUAGCACUCCGGUUGAGAAGGGAGUCAAAAUUUGAUAAGAUGAGAGAGCUCAAAUGAAAACACGACACUCCAGUUGAGAAAGGGAUGCAAGACUUGAUAAGGCGAAAAGAACUUGAACAAAGGGGCACAAUACUCCGGUUAAGCAAGAUAGGGAAGGAAUAAGAGUGAUAUAAUUUGGACAGCACUCCGCCUGUAAAUGGAAGGAAUUGAACAAGACAAGAUGAGAGGAUACUUGAAAAGAGGACACAACACUCCAAUUAAAAGGAUAGGCACGACAAGAACACGAUCCUGAUAAAACAAGAAGAUGGGUUGAAGAGAGAAACAUCACCAUGCCUCCGGAACAAAAGAGUAGAGUAAAGAUAAUUGAGACAAGCGAAUGUAGAAGACAAUGCCAACUUCUGCUACAAAAGAUCCUGAAAAGGCAUCUCUAGGAGAAGGGUUGAAUGGAGUUGUUGGAAAACCAAUAACGAAAAUAAUAAGCUUGAUAUGGUCUUAUGGAAUACCUCUCAAAUUAAGAGAUGAAAAACCUGCCACUCACGGGAAAAGAAUUGGAUUGACAAGAACAAGGAGACGAGAAGGCUAUAUUACCGGGAGGAUAAAAGAAGAACUUGGGUCAUUUAUAAGCACCAUAAAUAGCAACAAUCCUUAGAGAAUGCUUUAGGUGAAAUAUAACCCAAGAUAACUCCAAUGACGAGAUUGAUGGAUUUAAAAUACCUCAUUCUUGAUAACUUGUGAAACACAAAGCACGAAGGGAAAAUUAUCAAGAAUGACAUAAUACCACCUCCAAUGAUACGGUAGAAGGAAAAUGCACUUCGGAAUGCGAGAAGAAGAAAACUUGAGCUCCUUAAAAAAGAAUGUUGAUGAACACUUCGAGAAGGAAUUAAAUCCUUGAUGAACCACCAUGUAGAACCUUCAUGAAGAACUCCGGUAAUGAAAGAAUGAUCCAAAAUAAUUGAAUGAUGGAAAGAAUAAGAUUGAAGCCUCGCAAUGAUUAGAUGGAUCUUCAUGAUGAUGAAAGCUUGGAACUCUGGGAACAUAAAAGAUGAAACAAAUGAAAUUGAGAAUUUUGAUGAACCUCCGGAAUAAGGAAUUAAUCACUUGGAUGAACAAGAAUAAUAAUUAUGUUAUGCAUAUCCUUCACCAAUUAAAUUGAUGACAAUCAACGGAUUUGACAUAUUACUUAUUCUCGUAGAAAGGAUUAAGAUGGAUAUAGCGCAACUUGAGAAAGCCUUCAACGAAACACCGGUGGAAUCGAAACAACGAAUGCAUCGAUAUGAUAACGAAAGAAGAGGAAUCUUGCACGAACCACCGUAAGAAAUGAAAAUGAGCGAAGAAAAGAUAAAGGGACAAUGGGAAAAAUUAGCAAAUGGAUGAAGAUGCUUGAGAGAAUUUAGAUGGAGUUUAAUAUAAUAGAUCAUGGACCGAUUAGAGAUCACCUGAACGCUGCACCGGUAUGAUUUAGAGUAUGAGAGCUGAAAGCUGGAAUGAAUAAGUCUUCUUAAAUGAUGGGCUCUAGAUGAACAAACUGAAAAGUCUCCUGAGUUACUCCGGAUGGUUGAAAAGAAUAUCUCACAAUCGCAAAUAAUUAUGAGAGGAUGGCAACAAGCUAGAAUCACGAAUCUUGAAGAGAUUGGAGCAAGAUUAAAGAGAAACUCUUCUUCGGUCUUCAAAUGUUGAGAAUGACAACAAGAAACACGACCAUGAAUUAUUGAGGCACUCCGGAAGAAUCAAAACGAAGAGGUUGAGUCAACGAUGAAAAGAAUUUAACCGAUCUUGGAGAAAUACAUUUGACUGAUGAUAAUUCAUUCUUACGUCAAACUUUAAAAGAUUUGAGAAUAGCUCCGGUAAAAAUUAGAAGAGUCAGGUAAGAUCCUGGAAAAAGACCUGUGGGUUAGGGCCCACUCAAAAGAAAACACCGUUGAAAUGAUUAAAAAGAGAGGUUGCACCAGUUGAAUUAAAUGACUUGAAUGAGAUACCAAUCUCGAAAGAGCUUGAACGAAUGCAGAGUGGAAACACGAAUCUUUGAGAUAUCUUGAGCACUCCGGAACAAUUAAAUAGCGAGAAGUGAAUGAAAAUGAGGUGCACCGGCAUGAGAAGCAUUGAAAUGAGGAAAAGACAUGAUCAACAAAGCUUGACUUUAAACCACCGGAGAAGAAAAACGAGUGAAGGUUGACGAACUUGAAGCUCUGUUAGAAUUUUCUUGAGAAUCACCAGAUAAGAAUAUUGAUGGAAAAGAAUGGAGAGGUUUCCAUCAAUGAGAUGAUACUUGAUUAAGAAAUCUGAGUCCUUGAAGAAAAAACAAGGGAGGGAGGGUGGGAAAAACAAAGGCAACUUGGAGACGGAUGAAACAAACACCGUUGAGAAACUUAGAAUUGAUCUUGCGGAUGUUGAAAUGAUCAGAUCCACUUGAAGAGAAAACACGCCGGUUGAAAAGGAUUGGAAAGACAAUCUUGAUGAUCACGAAGUAUUAGUAUUCACAUAGGAUUAUGAGAACACCAUUUGGGGAAGGUAUGGAAUCAACAUUUGACUUCGAAGCAACUCGAAUACCACAACUCAAAAUAAAACCAAGGAUUGGCUUGCAGAAUAAGCCAGAACAAACUUAUGAUAGAGAUUUCGUCCGAAGUUUUUGUGGUGGGACCUACACGGGCUCGAUCGUACAGCACCAUCAUGUACAAGGCAGUGCACUUCAAUCUUCACCUGCAACUAACAACGCUAUAAGAGGGGCUGAGCAAAGCGGUAACAUAGCCAAUCAACGGUUUGCUAGGACAUGGUGGGUUAGAGGUUUGACAUGGCAAUUGGGAGGCUGAGAAGCAAAUGGUAGGCAUCGUAGCAUUGGCAUAGCAAAAGAGCGAGCAAACUAGCAUAGCAAAGAUAGUAGUGAUUUCGAGGGUAUGAUCAUCUUGCCUGAAAUCCCGCAAGGAAGAAGAACGAGUCCAUGAAGAAGACAAACGGACGUAGUCGAACGGAUCCUCACAAACUCGACGUUACCGGAACCAACCCGAAGAAGCAAUCACCAGAAAAGAAGCACACAACAUAGUAAACAACCAACCCAUCAACAUGGCAUGAUGCACAAUCAAGUAUGAUGCAUGUCCGGUUUAAAGAGGCAUGGCAUGGCAAAAUGCACAAACAAUCCUACAAAUUAAGUGGAGCACAAUAUGCAACGAGUUGCAUAUUGACGAAACACCACAUGACUUAUUUAGUUCGAUCUCGUUUAUGUACCCAACAAUAUUAAAUGAUUAACAUGGCAAGAGGUGAAGCACAACAAAACUACCUAUCUAGGCAAGUUUAAAUGAGGCCGGAAGCAACGAACAACAAUUCCGGAAAAUCCUCAUAUGCAUAAUUUAAGGUUUGGUACUGUUCUGCCCUAAACAUAAUUUUAGAGUUGUUUAACAUGCAAAGUAAGGUUACCAUGAUAAAGUAGGCAAAAUUCUACCCCAUUUACAUAUAAAGAUAAUUUAAAUCGGAGCUACGGUUAUUUAGUUAUGAAUUAAAUCAUAUUAGCAUGGAAUAGGAGCAAAUUAAUGCAAACAACAUUUUAAACAUGGAUGAAAGUUGGAUAUUAUUAAUCUACACAAAAUUCUAAGCAAGUUUCAUAUAUAAAUCAUUUUAAUCCGAUGCACGGUUGUGAAGUUAUUAUAUGCAUGAA
Molecule: long non-coding RNA, 6243 nt
Filed under: Triticum aestivum (bread wheat)
Lineage: Eukaryota; Viridiplantae; Streptophyta; Magnoliopsida; Poales; Poaceae
Description: long non-coding RNA (TAES_LNC009760)
Source: RNAcentral